This 486-nucleotide ribosomal RNA is filed under the name uncultured Eubacteriales bacterium. RNAcentral describes it as "bacterial SSU rRNA". It matches the Rfam family "Bacterial small subunit ribosomal RNA", at positions 21 to 507 of the family's 1533-position model. The record is from RNAcentral. Lineage: Bacteria; Bacillati; Bacillota; Clostridia; Eubacteriales.
GGCUCAGGAUGAACGCUGGCGGCGUGCUUAACACAUGCAAGUCGAACGAAGCACUUAGGAAUGAUUCUUCGGAUGAAAACUUAAGUGACUGAGUGGCGGACGGGUGAGUAACGCGUGGGUAACCUGCCUUGUACUGGGGGAUAACAGUUAGAAAUAGCUGCUAAUACCGCAUAAGCGCACAGCAUCACAUGAUGCAGUGUGCAAAACUCCGGUGGUACAAGAUGGACCCGCGUCUGAUUAGCUAGUUGGUGAGGUAACGGCCCACCAAGGCGACGAUCAGUAGCCGACCUGAGAGGGUGACCGGCCACAUUGGGACUGAGACACGGCCCAAACUCCUACGGGAGGCAGCAGUGGGGAAUAUUGCACAAUGGGCGAAAGCCUGAUGCAGCGACGCCGCGUGAAGGAUGAAGUAUUUCGGUAUGUAAACUUCUAUCAGCAGGGAAGAUAAUGACGGUACCUGACUAAGAAGCCCCGGCUAACUACGUG